AUCUCUGGGCACAUGAAGCUUAUGGUGUAUAUCCAGAUAUAAUGACUCUUGCCAAGCCUCUAGCUGGAGGUCUCCCCAUUGGAGCCGUACUAGUGACCGAAAGAGUUGCUGCUGCAAUAAACUAUGGAGACCAUGGAAGCACUUUUGCAGGCUCACCUCUCGUCUGCAAUGCUGCAGUCGCCGUUGUAGACAAGAUCUCAGAUCCUGAGUUCUUGCGUAGUGUCUCCAGGAAAGGUGAAUACAUGAAGA
This 249-nucleotide unclassified non-coding RNA is filed under the name Hevea brasiliensis (rubber tree). The record is from RNAcentral. Lineage: Eukaryota; Viridiplantae; Streptophyta; Magnoliopsida; Malpighiales; Euphorbiaceae.